AUUAAACGCUGGCGGCAUGCCUUACACAUGCAAGUCGAACGGCAGCACGGGGGCAACCCUGGUGGCGAGUGGCGGACGGGUGAGUAAAGCAUCGGAACGUAUCCUGGAGUGGGGGAUAACGUAGCGAAAGUUACGCUAAUACCGCAUAUUCUGUGAGCAGGAAAGCAGGGGAUCGCAAGACCUUGCGCUCUGGGAGCGGCCGAUGUCGGAUUAGCUAGUUGGUGGGGUAAAGGCCUACCAAGGCGACGAUCCGUAGCGGGUCUGAGAGGAUGAUCCGCCACACUGGGACUGAGACACGGCCCAGACUCCUACGGGAGGCAGCAGUGGGGAAUUCUGGACAAUGGGCGGAAGCCUGAUCCAGCCAUGCCGCGUGAGUGAAGAAGGCCU
This 387-nucleotide ribosomal RNA is filed under the name uncultured bacterium. Its description in RNAcentral is "bacterial SSU rRNA". It matches the Rfam family "Bacterial small subunit ribosomal RNA", at positions 29 to 417 of the family's 1533-position model. The record is from RNAcentral.